Ipomoea nil (Japanese morning glory) is the source of this 287-nucleotide long non-coding RNA. RefSeq lists it as uncharacterized. The record is from RefSeq and is a predicted model, not a curated record. The transcript has 3 exons. NCBI's taxonomy places the organism in Eukaryota, Viridiplantae, Streptophyta, Magnoliopsida, Solanales, Convolvulaceae.
UGGUGUUUGGUAUAUGUCUGUACUGAAGGAUUUCUCCAAUAAGAUGUUUGUACUCCUCUACUUUAAGAAAAAGGAUAAGCAAAAGUUGCGGGGAAGGGAAAUUGAUUGGCCUGAGCUCAAGCCUUGCAUAUACAAGCGUCGUUAAGUUGUCCAAGUUUGCAGUAUCAGUCAUGUAGAGUUUUCUUGGCGUCGAUACUUUUUUGAGUUUCCAUGUCUUAGGAUCUAGAUGUACAACAAAUUGACAAUAUGAGAGUCUUGAAACAUUUUAGUAAUAUUUUUAUAGCAUC